CACCACAUCAUCAUGCCAUAUGCGGUGGGAUGUGGUUUUUGUGUAACGCCGACUAUGAAGCUGACAUGAAAGAGCAUUUUAAGUUAUUACAAACACAAUCUUGGUUUUGUGUUAAGCUUCAAGGAUACUGACGAAAAUGACGGCAACGUUUGUCUACGUGUGUGUCGUGUUAGGACUGGUCAGCAACGCGACGUGUCAGGGUCCAUAUGAAACCGUAUGACCCAGUGGAUGUCUGCUCCCCUUCUGCCCCAUCGGACUCGGCUGUCCAAUUUGCAAGCCUGGAUAUUGUAAAUUUAGCAGUGGACACCUUAGGGGUUAUAUAUGCACGACCUCGUGUCCGCUGGGAUAUACCUGCACCAGCGAUAAUUUCUGCACUGGAAUCCGGACAUGAGGAGGUGUCCGAGCCUGGUUGAGACUCGGAUCUACUGCUAUUUCAAAUAACUAUUCAUGUUUGCGUGUAUUUAAAUGACUAUCUAUAUACAGUUUAUAUGUUUUAUUAACGUUAACGCCCAUCACUACUGCCAAAAGCAACUGUAAUUGUGACGUUGUUCAGAAUAAUAACAGAGUUUUCACAAACCGAAAACCUUCCUAUAUAAACAACAUUGUUCGAAUUAAUUUGCCUCGCAAUUAACAUGUUAUAGAGUAAGAAGUAUGAUGCUUUGCAAUUUUAAAUUUUAUUGAAAUGAAUAAACAAACUGUCCACAUGUCAGUGUUCUGUUGUAUAUGUGUACUCAAUAUGCACAGUACUUCUAUACAUACCAGUAAAGGUGUCUUGUUGCGUAUGUAGGCUUUAAACAUGUGACGACAUCCCCUAGUUAUCGCUGUACAUUAAAUUCAAUAAUUCAAUAACAAAUAACGUGUUAUUGUUAAUAUAUACCUAAACCACCUGC
Dreissena polymorpha is the source of this 890-nucleotide long non-coding RNA. RefSeq lists it as uncharacterized. NCBI's taxonomy places the organism in Eukaryota, Metazoa, Mollusca, Bivalvia, Myida, Dreissenidae. The transcript has 4 exons. The record is from RefSeq and is a predicted model, not a curated record.